AUUGAACGCUGGCGGCAGGCCUAACACAUGCAAGUCGAGCGGAUGAAGGGAGCUUGCUCCUGGAUUCCGCGGCGGACGGGUGAGUAAUGCCUAGGAAUCUGCCUGGUAGUGGGGGAUAACGUCCGCAAACGGGCGCUAAUACCGCAUACGUCCUGAGGGAGAAAGUGGGGGAUCUUCGGACCUCACGCUCUCAGAUGAGCCUAGGUCGGAUUAGCUAGUUGGUGGGGUAAAGGCCUACCAAGGCGACGAUCCGUAACUGGUCUGAGAGGAUGAUCAGUCACACUGGAACUGAGACACGGUCCAGACUCCUACGGGAGGCAGCAGUGGGGAAUAUUGGACAAUGGGCGAAAGCCUGAUCCAGCCAUGCCGCGUGUGUGAAGAAGGUCUUCGGAUUGUAAAGCACUUUAAGUUGGGAGGAAGGGCAGUAAGUUAAUACCUUGCUGUUUUGACGUUACCAACAGAAUAAGCACCGGCUAACUUCGUG
RNAcentral lists this ribosomal RNA (484 nucleotides) under uncultured bacterium. RNAcentral's name for it is "partial 16S ribosomal RNA". It matches the Rfam family "Bacterial small subunit ribosomal RNA", at positions 30 to 507 of the family's 1533-position model. The record is from RNAcentral.